Molecule: ribosomal RNA, 583 nt
Filed under: uncultured archaeon
Lineage: Archaea
Description: partial 16S ribosomal RNA
Source: RNAcentral
GGUUGACCCGCCGGACGUUGUUUGGCAAGUAGUUAGGGGUCUAUUGAGUGCGCAAAUGCCGUAGGGGAAAUGAAUUACAAAGUUAGAAAGAAGUUUGACAUUUUCAACGAAUAAAAGAUCUUCAUAUAAUUUCGUAAGUUGUUGAGCGUCUGCAAUGUCGGCAACCCAAAUAUUAUUUUGAUAGACGGUUAAAUCAAAGGUUCCGUCAUGGUCAAAAUACAGGAUUCCGUUUUGCAAAUCCUCGUGUAAAGGAUUGGUGGUUAGUUGGAUAUUGACCUUGCUAACGUUGCAAUCCUCCACUGUAAUAAUACCCGAAAAAGUUUUUUUGUAAUUGGUAAAGAACUGAUUGACAGCGACAAACAAUAAAAUAAAUCCCUCAGUCCUUUGGGGAACUGAGGGGAUGGUUAAUAAUUGCGUGUCGUUGCGAAGGUACAGCAUUGAUUACGUUACGAUUACCGUGAGGGGCUUCACAACAUUGUUAUCGAGAUAGUCGGUAAAGGUGAGGUUCAGGUUAUAGGUUGCAGGCGCAACGCCGACCGUGUCCACUGUUAAAGUGGCGGUUGUACCGGGGUUUACGAUUGUA